RNAcentral lists this small RNA (84 nucleotides) under Phascolarctos cinereus (koala). RNAcentral describes it as "TUC338 (ENSPCIG00000024374.2)". Lineage: Eukaryota; Metazoa; Chordata; Mammalia; Diprotodontia; Phascolarctidae. The record is from RNAcentral.
CAAUACAGGUACAAUACAGGCAAGCUUUUCUCACAAGACCUCAACCAUGUGCCUCAACUCUGACCUGGAAGGACUACCUUUAAA